Talpa occidentalis (Iberian mole) is the source of this 673-nucleotide long non-coding RNA. RefSeq lists it as uncharacterized. Lineage: Eukaryota; Metazoa; Chordata; Mammalia; Eulipotyphla; Talpidae. The transcript has 3 exons. The record is from RefSeq and is a predicted model, not a curated record.
GCCGGCGCAGGUGCCCAGGGGCGCUCUUGGAAAGGCAGUGCAGCCUGGUGGUUAAGGACUGGGAGCUGCAGUCGGACAGACUCCAAAUUAGCUAAGGAGUCCUAGGGCGUCGUCCUUGGACUAUGUACGCACAUGCCACGUCUUCACGGCAGAAGGUAUUACGGGAUACAGUGAAGCGCUAACGCUCCCCUGGUCCCGCUCGCCUCUCCCUCCUGUAACUGACUGCCCUCGGCAGUGUCUUGUGUGUCAUUCCUGAUCCCACUCCAUGGGUUUAUAUGAAAAUACGUGAUUUGGUAUAUGGACUCUCUGCACCUCGACCUCCUAAUCUAAACAUGGGAAUGAAAAUGCUAGCAGUUCAAUCUGAAGAGGGACUGAGAAAGUGACCUGAGUCUUGCAGCGUGGAGAAGGAAGUUUGAUUUUGAUUCACAAGUGUCCCAGAGGACGGUACCUGCCUUUCCCUGGGCCUCUCCUGCAGCAACCAGGUACCACUACCGCAUGCUGUGGCUGGUCCCCCAAGAUGCCCACAGAGCUCCCCACCGCCAGAUACAGGAUACAGGACACUGAAGGCCUCCUUGUUCCAGAGGAUGCAGCAGGAAAUGCAUCAAAGCCACGAUGCUUUUGCGAUCCAGCCAUAUCAAUGUACGUAUUGGCAGAACAUGGCUUUUUCUUUCUU